Molecule: ribosomal RNA, 502 nt
Filed under: uncultured bacterium
Lineage: Bacteria
Description: partial 16S ribosomal RNA
Rfam family: Bacterial small subunit ribosomal RNA
Source: RNAcentral
GACGAACGCUGGCGGCGUGCUUAACACAUGCAAGUCGAACGGUGAAGGGGUCUGCUUUUGUGGGCCCUGGAUGAGUGGCGAACGGAUGAGUAACACGUGAGUAACCUGCCCCCUUCUUCUGGAUAACCGCAUGAAAGUGUGGCUAAUACGGGAUAUUCUGGGUCUGUCGCAUGAUGGGUCUGGGAAAGAUUGCGCCUUUGGGUGUUUUUGGUGGGGGAUGGGCUCGCGGCCUAUCAGCUUGUUGGUGGGGUGAUGGCCUACCAAGGCGGUGACGGGUAGCCGGCCUGAGAGGGUGGACGGUCACACUGGGACUGAGACACGGCCCAGACUCCUACGGGAGGCAGCAGUGGGGAAUAUUGCACAAUGGGCGCAAGCCUGAUGCAGCGACGCCGCGUGAGGGAGGGAGGCCUUCGGGUUGUAAACCUCUUUCGCCAGUGAAGCAGGCCUGCUCCUUGUGGGUGGGUUGACGGUAGCUGGAUAAGAAGCGCCGGCUAACUACGUG